AAAAAAUUAGUUAAUAAUAACAUUAGUUUGUCAAACUAAAAUUAUCAACUAAUUGAUAUUUUUUA
RNAcentral lists this transfer RNA (65 nucleotides) under Hamaxiella brunnescens. RNAcentral describes it as "tRNA-Asp". Lineage: Eukaryota; Metazoa; Arthropoda; Insecta; Diptera; Tachinidae. The record is from RNAcentral. RNAcentral also lists the same sequence under 1 other name.